RNAcentral lists this ribosomal RNA (253 nucleotides) under uncultured bacterium. Its description in RNAcentral is "partial 16S ribosomal RNA". It matches the Rfam family "Bacterial small subunit ribosomal RNA", at positions 524 to 776 of the family's 1533-position model. The record is from RNAcentral.
UACGUAGGUGGCAAGCGUUGUCCGGAAUCACUGGGCGUAAAGCGCGCGCAGGCGGCGAUCUACGUCUGGGGUGAAAGCCCGGAGCUCAACUCCGGGACUGCCUUGGAUACGGGAUCGCUUGAGGAUUGGAGAGGCAAGGGGAAUUCCACGUGUAGCGGUGAAAUGCGUAGAUAUGUGGAGGAACACCUGUGGCGAAGGCGCCUUGCUGGCCGAUUUCUGACGCUGAGGCGCGAAAGCGUGGGGAGCAAACAGG